This 253-nucleotide ribosomal RNA is filed under the name uncultured bacterium. Its description in RNAcentral is "partial 16S ribosomal RNA". It matches the Rfam family "Bacterial small subunit ribosomal RNA", at positions 524 to 776 of the family's 1533-position model. The record is from RNAcentral.
UACGGAGAGUGCAAGCAUUAAUCGGAAUUAUUGGGCGUAAAGGGCGCGUAGGCUGUUAGAUAAGUCAGAUGUGAAAUUCCAAAGCUCAACUUUGGAGCUGCAUUUGAAACUAUCUGUCUAGAGGGUUGACGGAGAAAACGGAAUUCCACGUGUAGCGGUGAAAUGCGUAGAUAUGUGGAAGAACACCAGUGGCGAAAGCGGUUUUCUAGUUAAUACCUGACGCUGAGGCGCGAGAGCAAGGGGAGCAAACAGG